RNAcentral lists this ribosomal RNA (777 nucleotides) under uncultured bacterium. RNAcentral's name for it is "bacterial SSU rRNA". It matches the Rfam family "Bacterial small subunit ribosomal RNA", at positions 8 to 796 of the family's 1533-position model. The record is from RNAcentral.
AGAGUUUGAUCCUGGCUCAGAACGAACGCUGGCGGCGUGCCUAACACAUGCAAGUCGAACGGGGCGCCGGGCGUAGCAAUACGUCCGGCGUCAAGUGGCGCACGGGUGAGUAACGCGUAGGCAACCUACCCUCGGGAGGGGGACAACCCGCCGAAAGGCGGGCUAAUACCCCGUAAGGUCGUGGACUGAGAUGUCUGCGGCAAAAGGAGCAAUCCGCCCGGGGAUGGGCCUGCGUCCUAUCAGGUAGUUGGCAGGGUAAAAGCCUACCAAGCCUAAGACGGGUAGCCGGUCUGAGAGGAUGGACGGCCACACUGGAACUGAGACACGGUCCAGACUCCUACGGGAGGCAGCAGUGGGGAAUUUUGCGCAAUGGGGGAAACCCUGACGCAGCGACGCCGCGUGGAGGAUGAAGGCCUUCGGGUUGUAAACUCCUUUUAGGGGGGAAGAUGAUGACGGUACCCCCUGAAUAAGCCACGGCUAACUCUGUGCCAGCAGCCGCGGUAAGACAGAGGUGGCGAGCGUUGUUCGGAAUUACUGGGCUUAAAGGGCGCGUAGGCGGUGGGGCAAGUCCGUGGUGGAAUCCCGAGGCUCAACCUCGGAACUGCGUUUGUGACUGCGAGGCUAGAGUACGGCAGAGGGGGGUAGAAUUCCACGUGUAGCAGUGAAAUGCGUAGAGAUGUGGGGGAAUACCGAUGGCGAAGGCAGCCCCCUGGGUUAGUACUGACGCUCAUGCACGAAAGCGUGGGGAGCAAACAGGAUUAGAUACCCUGGUAGUCC